Molecule: ribosomal RNA, 427 nt
Filed under: uncultured bacterium
Lineage: Bacteria
Description: bacterial SSU rRNA
Rfam family: Bacterial small subunit ribosomal RNA
Source: RNAcentral
UGGGGAAUUUUGGACAAUGGGCGCAAGCCUGAUCCAGCAAUGCCGCGUGCAGGAUGAAGGCCUUCGGGUUGUAAACUGCUUUUGUACGGAACGAAACGGCUCUGUCUAAUACAUGGGGCUAAUGACGGUACCGUAAGAAUAAGCACCGGCUAACUACGUGCCAGCAGCCGCGGUAAUACGUAGGGUGCAAGCGUUAAUCGGAAUUACUGGGCGUAAAGCGUGCGCAGGCGGUUAUGCAAGACAGAGGUGAAAUCCCCGGGCUCAACCUGGGAACUGCCUUUGUGACUGCAUAGCUAGAGUACGGCAGAGGGGGAUGGAAUUCCGCGUGUAGCAGUGAAAUGCUUAGAUAUUACAUGGAAUACCAAUUGCGAAGGCAGGUUACUACUUGUGGAUUGACGCUGAUGGACGAAAGCGUGGGGAGCGAACA